GGCUUCAGAUGAGCAAUGGUUGUGACACGCUGUAGGAUAGGCCUCCCCGAAGCAGCCAGUUCUUUUGGAACUCAUCAAAUUGAGGCUGCACCAAACAACUCUGCAGGUGAUGGGUUUAAGGCAAAUCUUGUCUUUAAGGAGAUUGAGACGUUUGAAGAGGAAGGGGAAUCGUUUGUGAAGAAAAUCGGUGGUAUUUUUGCCUUCAAGUUGAAGGAUGGCUCUGGGGGUAAAGAAGCCACCUGGGUAGGGGAUGUGAAGGAUGGCAAAGAAUCAGUGCUUCCUGACUCAGAUAAGAAGGCUGAUUGCACAAUCACAAUGGUUGACUCGGACUUACUGGCUUUAAUGAUGGGUAAAAUGAAUCCUCAGUCGGUCUUCUUCCAAGACAAAUUGAAAAUCAUGGGCAAUAUGGCUCUAACUAUGAAGUUACCAAACCUUCAGCUUCAGUCAGGCAAAGCUAAACUGUGA
Carlito syrichta (Philippine tarsier) is the source of this 465-nucleotide RNA transcript. It is a transcript of the gene named non-specific lipid-transfer protein pseudogene, with no coding region annotated. Lineage: Eukaryota; Metazoa; Chordata; Mammalia; Primates; Tarsiidae. The transcript has a single exon. The record is from RefSeq and is a predicted model, not a curated record.